RNAcentral lists this ribosomal RNA (406 nucleotides) under uncultured bacterium. RNAcentral describes it as "partial 16S ribosomal RNA". It matches the Rfam family "Bacterial small subunit ribosomal RNA", at positions 30 to 526 of the family's 1533-position model. The record is from RNAcentral.
AUUGAACGCUGGCGGCAGGCCUAACACAUGCAAGUCGAACGAGUGGCGGACGGGCGAGUAAUGUCUGGGAACCUGCCCGAUGGAGGGGGAUAACUACUGGAAACGGUAGCUACUACCGCAUACCAUCGGAUGUGCCCUCGUGGUAGUAGCUAGUAGGGGUGGUAACGGCUCACCUAGGCGACGAUCCCUAGCUGGUCUGAGAGGCUGACCAGCCACACUGGGACUGAGACACGGUCCAGACUCCUACGGGAGGCAGCAGUGGGGAAGAUUGGACAAUGGGCGAAAGCCUGAUGCAGCAAUGCCGCGUGUAUGAAGAAGGCCUUCGGGUUGUAAAGUACUUUCGGCGGGGAGGCGUUACCCGCAGAAGAAGCACCGGCUAACUCCGUGCCAGCAGCCGCGGUAAUUC